CACGCAGGCGGAUUGAUAAGUCAGGGGUGAAAUCCCGGGGGCUCAACCUCGGAAUUGCCUUUGAUACUGUCUGUCUUGAGUUCGGGAGAGGUUGGCGGAAUUCCUAGUGUAGAGGUGAAAUUCGUAGAUAUUAGGAAGAACACCAGUGGCGAAGGCGGCCAACUGGCCCGAUACUGACGCUCAUGUGCGAAAGCGUGGGGAGCAAACAGGAUUAGAUACCCUGGUAGUCCACGCCGUAAACUAUGGAUGCUAGCCGUUGGGGAGCUUGCUCUUCAGUGGCGCAGCUAACGUCUUAAGCAUCCCGCCUGGGGAGUACGGUCGCAAGAUUAAA
Molecule: ribosomal RNA, 331 nt
Filed under: uncultured bacterium
Lineage: Bacteria
Description: bacterial SSU rRNA
Rfam family: Bacterial small subunit ribosomal RNA
Source: RNAcentral